GCGGUAAUACGUAUGUCCCGAGCGUUAUCCGGAUUUGUUGGGCGUAAAGCGGGAGCGGACGGGUUAUUAAGUCGGAUGUGAAAUCCCGAGGCCCAACCUCGGAACUGCAUUGGAAACUGAUUUACUUGAGUGCGAUAGAGGCAAGUGGAACUCCAUGUGUAGCGGUGAAAUGCGUAGAUAUGUGGAAGAACACCAGUGGCGAAAGCGGCUUGCUAGAUCGUAACUGACGUUGAGGCUCGAAAGUAUGGGUAGCAAACGGGAUUAGAUACCCCGGUAGUCCAUACCGUAAACGAUGGGUGCUAGUUGUUAAGAGGUUUCCGCCUCCUAGUGACGUAGCAAACGCAUUAAGCACCCCGCCUGAGGAGUACGGCCGCAAGGCUAAAACUUAAAGGAAUUGACGGGGACCCGCACAAGCGGUGGAGCAUGUGGUUUAAUUCGAAGAUACGCGAAAAACCUUACCAGGUCUUGACAUACCAAUGAUCGCUUUUGUAAUGAAAGCUUUUCUUCGGAACAUUGGAUACAGGUGGUGCAUGGUCGUCGUCAGCUCGUGUCGUGAGAUGUUGGGUUAAGUCCCGCAACGAGCGCAACCCUUGUUAUUAGUUGCCAGCAUUUAGUUGGGCACUCUAAUGAGACUGCCGGUGAUAAACCGGAGGAAGGUGGGGACGACGUCAGAUCAUCAUGCCCCUUAUGACCUGGGCAACAC
RNAcentral lists this ribosomal RNA (703 nucleotides) under Oenococcus oeni. RNAcentral describes it as "bacterial SSU rRNA". It matches the Rfam family "Bacterial small subunit ribosomal RNA", at positions 517 to 1219 of the family's 1533-position model. The record is from RNAcentral. Lineage: Bacteria; Bacillati; Bacillota; Bacilli; Lactobacillales; Lactobacillaceae.